UCCGUAGGUGAACCUGCGGAAGGAUCAUUAAUGAAAUGUCAAGAAGGGUUGUUGCUGGCCUUACGGGGCAUGUGCACGCCUUGAUUGCUCAUCCUCUCACACCUGUGCACUACCUGUAGCUUGGGAUGAUUACGAAGUCGGAAACGACAUCGAAAGCCCUCGCUAUGUUUUUUAUAUACACACACACAAAGUUAUAGAAUGUACAAAGUUAUAGCGUAUAACAGCGCAAAUAAAUACAACUUUCAGCAACGGAUCUCUUGGCUCUCGCAUCGAUGAAGAACGCAGCGAAAUGCGAUAAGUAAUGUGAAUUGCAGAAUUCAGUGAAUCAUCGAAUCUUUGAACGCACCUUGCGCUCCUUGGUAUUCCGAGGAGCAUGCCUGUUUGAGUGUCAUGAAAUUCUCAACUGCUUCAAUUUGAAGUGAAGUUGGACUUUGGAGGAUAAUUGCUGGCGCAACUUUGUUGCUUGUUAGCUCCUCUUGAAUAAAUGAGCCUACCUUUCCAUGGCAAAGUAAUGGCCGAUGUGAUAAUUAUCUACAUUGGACGUGAAAGAUCCUACAAGGAACAGGGGCGUGUUUUUGGGGCAUGACAAAU
This 591-nucleotide ribosomal RNA is filed under the name Pseudotomentella sp. YM1605. Its description in RNAcentral is "eukaryotic LSU rRNA". The stretch from base 238 to 391 matches the Rfam family "5.8S ribosomal RNA". Lineage: Eukaryota; Fungi; Basidiomycota; Agaricomycetes; Thelephorales; Thelephoraceae. The record is from RNAcentral.